RNAcentral lists this ribosomal RNA (389 nucleotides) under uncultured Prorocentrum. Its description in RNAcentral is "partial small subunit ribosomal RNA". It matches the Rfam family "Eukaryotic small subunit ribosomal RNA", at positions 30 to 432 of the family's 1831-position model. The record is from RNAcentral. Lineage: Eukaryota; Dinophyceae; Prorocentrales; Prorocentraceae.
GCUUGUCUCAAAGAUUAAGCCAUGCAUGUCUAAGUGUAAAUAAGUCUAUACUGUGAAACUGCGAAUGGCUCAUUAAAUCAGUUAUCGUUUAUUUGAUGAUCUCUUACUACUUGGAUAACCGUAGUAAUUCUAGAGCUAAUACAUGCGUCAGAACCCAACUUUACGGAAGGGUCGUGUUUAUUAGAUACAAAACCAACAUCUCGUUGGUGAUUCAUAAUAACCAAGCGAAUCGUCGGUUUACCGACGAUAGAUCGUUCAAGUUUCUGACCUAUCAGCUUUGGUCGGUAGGGUAUUGGCCUACCGAGGCAAUGACGGGUAACGGAGAAUUAGGGUUCGAUUCCGGAGAGGGAGCCUGAGAAACGGCUACCACAUCUAAGGAAGGCAGCAGG